GGCAGGUAGGUAGGUGGGUAGGUGGUCAAUCGGGCAGGUAGGUGGUCAAUUAGGAAGGUAAGCAGUCAAGCAGGUAGGUAAGUAGUCAAUCAGGCAGAUAACUAGGAGGUAGGUGGUCGAUCAGGCGGGUAGGUGGUCAAUCGGACAGGUAAGUAGUCAAUCGGGCAGGUAGGUAGGUAGUUAAGUAGUUGAUCGGGCAGGUAGGUGGUCAGGCAGGUAGGUAGGUGGGUAGGUGGUCGAUCAGGUAGGUAGGUGGUCAAGAAGGUAGUUAAGUAGUCAAGCAGGCAGGUAACUAGGCAGGUAGGUGGUCAAUCAGGCAGGUAGGUUGGCGGGUGGGUGGUCAAUCGGGCAGGUAGGUAGGUGGGUAGGCAGGUAAGUAGUUGAUCAGGCAGGUAACUGGGUAGGUGGUCAAUCGGGCAGCGAGGUGGUCAGGCAGGGAGGUAAGUGGCCCAUCAGUCGGUCACCGGCUACCUUGGGGCUGCUGUGGUUCCCUGGGGACUUUGUGGUGCCGCGAGGAUCGCUCGCCCCAGCUGGCGGCCCCAGCCUUUGAAGUUUGGUUAAAGUUUAGGAAUCGAUUUUUGGCUUGGAGAGCAGCUGAAGGCAGUCUCGGAAUGGCCGGAGCCCGUUGUGCCUAGCAGGAUUGGAUUCCCUUGGGAAUUAAAACCGAGCCUGAGCUCCUGGCAGCAGCACGGUGAGUCUCAGCUGGAGCUGAGGAGAGGAGGAGGGUCCUGAGGGUCG
RNAcentral lists this long non-coding RNA (738 nucleotides) under Anas platyrhynchos platyrhynchos (common mallard). Its description in RNAcentral is "lncRNA (ENSAPLG00000022274.1)". Lineage: Eukaryota; Metazoa; Chordata; Aves; Anseriformes; Anatidae. The record is from RNAcentral.